ACAGAGUAAAGGCAAAGGAGGGAGGAGAGGAUAAAAUCUAUUCGUCUGAUAUUAAAGAUAUUGAACCCUCACGGAUCUUCAAUGUCAAAAGUGAAUUUUUUUCUAACUUUCCAGAAAUUAACAAAACAUAUUUGAUUUUUAAAAUAAUUUUUUAAAUUACUAAAACGUUUUGUUCUUAAAAUAAACUAAAAAUAUAUUAUU
Molecule: long non-coding RNA, 201 nt
Organism: Physella acuta
Lineage: Eukaryota; Metazoa; Mollusca; Gastropoda; Physidae
Source: RefSeq, a predicted model, not a curated record